RNAcentral lists this small RNA (79 nucleotides) under Salmonella enterica subsp. enterica. RNAcentral's name for it is "Hfq binding sRNA". It matches the Rfam family "STnc490 Hfq binding RNA", at positions 1 to 79 of the family's 124-position model. The record is from RNAcentral. RNAcentral also lists the same sequence under 1 other name. Lineage: Bacteria; Pseudomonadati; Pseudomonadota; Gammaproteobacteria; Enterobacterales; Enterobacteriaceae.
AACCCCCAGCUAGGCUGGGGGUUCCGGAAAGCUUUCAGCUUUAAGUCAGUUAUUAAAACCCCUUUUGAUUUGUUAAAAC